AAGGUUUGAUCAUGGCUCGGAUUGAACGCUGGCGGGAUGCUUUACAUACCAGAGUCGAACGGCAGCACGGACUUCGGUCUGGUGGCGAGUGGCGAACGGGUGAGUAAUGUCGGAACGUGCUAGUAGCGGGGGAUAACUACGCAAGCAGCCCAGCUAAUACCGCAUACUGCCCUUCGAGGAGAAAACGGGGGACCUUCGGGCCUCAGCACUAUUAGAGCGGCCGAUAUCGGAUUAAUGGUCAGUGAAUAAGCUCACAAAACGACAAAUCCGUAGCUAGUUUGAAGGACGACCAACCAUACCUGCGGACCUGAGAACACAGCCUGAACUCCUACGAGAGCAGCAGGUAAAUUUUGGACAAUGGAAACCUGAUCCAGCCAUCCCGCGUGUGCGAUGAAGGCCUUCGGGUUGUAAAGCACUGGCAGGGAAAGAACGGCACGGGAUAAUACCGAUACGCUGACCGUAUGCCGAAAUAAGCACCGGCUAACUACGUGCCAGCAGCCGCCCGGUAAUACGUAAGUGCAAGCGUUAAUCGAAUCACUGGGGCGUAAAGCGUGCGCGGAGCGGUUCGGAAGAAAGAUGUGAAAUCUAAUGCUGGAACUGUUAUAUCUCAGUAAGUGUCAGAGGAAGUGGAAUUCCGCGUGUAGCAGUGAAAUGCGUAGAUGGCGGAGGAACACAAAUGACGCUAAAACUGAGCACUCACCUGAGAUACUCUGAAGCCCAGCAUCACCGUCGCAGCCGUCGAGAACAAAACAGGAUCUUAGAUGCCUGGUGAUCCGCCCUGAAGCGAUGUCAACUGGCUGUUGGGGCCUUCGAGGCCUUGUUGGCACAGCUGCGCGUGAGAUGACCGCCUGAGAAUUACGGUCGCAAGAUUAAAACUCAAAGGAAUUGACGGGGACCCACAAGCGGUGGAUGAUGUCGUUAAUUCGAUGCAACGCGAAAAUAACCACCUACCCUUGACAUGUCUGGAAUCCCGAAGUUGAGUGCUCGCAGAAGACACGGAACUUCGAUGCUGGCUGUCGUCAGCUCGUAUGUGAGAUGUUGAGUUAAGUCCGCAACGAAGCACAACCCUUGUCAUUAGUUGCUGCGAAAGGGCACUCCCUAAUGAGACUGCCGGUGACAAACCGGAGGAAGAAAUUAGGGAUGACGUCAAGUCCUCAUGGCCCUUAUAGGUAGGGCUUCUGCGUCUGCCUGUGUCAGGACAAGUCGCCAACCCGCGAAAGGAGCCAAUCGAAACCGAUCAUCGUCUGGAUCGCAGUCUGCAACUCGACUGCGUGAAGUCGGAAUCGCUAGUAAUCGCGGAUCAACAUGUCACGGUGAAUAAUUCCGGGUCUUCGCCGCACACCGCCCGUCCACCAUGGGAGUGGGUUUUACCGAAGUAGUUAAGCCUAACCGUAAGGAGGGCGAUUACCACGGUAAGUUCAUGACUUCAGGGUAAAAUCGUAACAAUC
This 1448-nucleotide ribosomal RNA is filed under the name uncultured Bordetella sp. RNAcentral's name for it is "partial 16S-23S ribosomal RNA intergenic spacer". It matches the Rfam family "Bacterial small subunit ribosomal RNA". The record is from RNAcentral. Lineage: Bacteria; Pseudomonadati; Pseudomonadota; Betaproteobacteria; Burkholderiales; Alcaligenaceae.